RNAcentral lists this long non-coding RNA (1406 nucleotides) under Ursus maritimus (polar bear). Its description in RNAcentral is "lncRNA (ENSUMAG00000020277.1)". The record is from RNAcentral. Lineage: Eukaryota; Metazoa; Chordata; Mammalia; Carnivora; Ursidae.
GUGCAACAACACGGAUCAAGCCAUCCUUUCUCAGGGACACAUCCCGCCGCAGAGGUGUUCGAAAUCCAUAGGACCACAGCCCUUUUCCCGUGGACGCAGAAAGUGGAAUCGGAACUCAAGGAGGCUCGGGUGAAAGAAGGUGAAUAAGAAGGAUGGAGCUGCAGGCAGCAAACAGGAAGAGAGAGGAAAGGAGAAGGAAGGCUUCAGGAGAGGGUGCCCAGGACGACGGAGAAGGGGGCAGUUAUUUCUUACGAUCCUGCUCCGCCUUUCCACCUCUGAUGCCGGACGUGUAUCCUGAGACGAGCACGCAGAUGAGCUCAGUCCACGUCAUUCCUGGUCCCAGCGUGCCUCCCUGCUCCGCGGGGCAGCGGUGCCAGCAUUCUGCUGACUCCCCUGCCCCUGCAGCUCCCUGCAUGACUUACGUCUGUCAGGCAGGAGCUGCGAAGUGAGUCUGGGAGCAGUGAGUGGGCAAAGCAAGUCGUUGGCCUCAAGUCGGGACAGUGGACCGUGGGAAGCACAGGACAGCUGGUCGACUCAGAAGCUUCGUGAUCAUGGUGGAGGCGUGGUGCUUCUGGCCUGAGCAGCUCUCUUAGCUGGCCUGCUCUUCCAUGUUCAGACAGUGCACCUGGAGUCCUUCCGAUGGUGUUACGAGCUGUCAGUAACCAUACCUAUCGCUCCUUUUGCAUAAAUUAGCCAGAGGAUCCUACCAUUUGCAACCCCAAAACCCACAGACGGGUACAGAUGUUAACUGGGACGCCGUCACCCACAGCUGAAUAGUGGCUUUCUGGAAUGAUGCACUGGAAGGACAUCGCAGGCUGCCUCUAGGCUGCGGGAGAACGCCCACUCCGACGCCGGGGCUUCUGUUAUGGCAGCAAGAGAGAAGAAGGCAUUUGUGCUAGACUCCUGCCAUCUGUGGUUGAGACAAUUGACAGAACUGCGUCUUUCCUCUUUUGUUUUGUGGUCAUACCGUCAUGUGUACGGGAUCUUCUGCUAAGGCAUUGACUUUGUCGGGUAACUCUGGAAAUCGGAGAUUUUAGACCUAUUUCUUUACACCGAAUCUGUAGAAAUAGAAGCUGCAAUUGUCUUUGAUGUCAAGGGUUGAAUAAUUGUUGAUGUAACUUUUUGAAGAAUGUAAAUGCCCGGUUGAAAAUUUCUUGCUUGGCAAAGAUAAAGAAGAUUCAGAAUAUUUACAUUCCAGUAUACAUUUUCACUAUAUAUGUCCCUAUGUGUUACCGUAUGUAUGUAUUACAUUUGAGAAGUAUUACAAACAAAGUGGCUACAGAGAAGGAAUGAAGAUCUUGCUCGAAUUUAAAUCUGUAUAGAUUCUAUUUCUUACAAUAAUAAGUUCCCUUUACUAGUCAGUAGUUUAAAAUAAAAUUCGGUUUAAUCCUCUAUAGUUUGGUGCU